Molecule: ribosomal RNA, 229 nt
Filed under: uncultured bacterium
Lineage: Bacteria
Description: partial 16S ribosomal RNA
Rfam family: Bacterial small subunit ribosomal RNA
Source: RNAcentral
CGCGUAGGCGGUUUGUUAAGUCGGAUGUGAAAGCCCCGGGCUCAACCUGGGAAUUGCAUUCGAUACUGAUCGACUAGAGUACGAGAGAGGGAGGUAGAAUUCCACGUGUAGCGGUGAAAUGCGUAGAUAUGUGGAGGAAUACCGGUGGCGAAGGCGACCUCCUGGCUCGAUACUGACGCUGAGGUGCGAAAGCGUAGGGAGCAAACAGGAUUAGAUACCCUGGUAGUCC